Molecule: long non-coding RNA, 843 nt
Organism: Rosa chinensis
Lineage: Eukaryota; Viridiplantae; Streptophyta; Magnoliopsida; Rosales; Rosaceae
Exons: 2
Source: RefSeq, a predicted model, not a curated record
UCCUAGACCGACUCUUUUGCUCUCUCCCCUGCUUCCCCAAUUUUCAGCUCUGCUUUUGCCCUUUCUAUUCGGUUUACUUACGGUUUUGUGGUGUUGGAGUCCUGACCUUGAUAUAUCACCUCCACUUGAUUUCUUCUUUCUUCUACAGUCCUGUAAACCAUCUUUAUCAAUUAUCAAGAACGAUCGAGGAGAGAGAGAGAGAAAGCGGUUGUGUUUCUUUGCUUUGCACGAAGAGAUAGAGAGAUAGAGAAACGGGUGUGUUUCUUUGGUUUGCACGGAGAGAGAGAGAGAGAGAGAGAGAGAGAGAGAGAGAGAUCGGAGGCAAAUUCUCACGUCAUCAUCUGAGAUCGGAGGUGAGACUUACUCUUGAAGAACCUAAAGCUGAAACCAGAGGCUUUGAAAAUCUAAUUUUGAAGGUCUGGUAUUGAUUCCAUUCUCACUCUGUUCACUAGGUUUCAGUUCCAACAUACUUUUCCUCCAAAAUUUUACUUUGAUUCUCUAUACACGACUUCAUUUAUGUACAUAUGGACUGUUUGGAUUUUUUUUUUUUUCCUUUUUCCUUCGUCUUGAGUUUCUGAAGAUGUUGGUUUAGUUUUCACCCAAAGGAGGGAAAGAUUUGAUGCUAGGAUGCUCCAUAUUCUCAUACUAUGUGCUGGAGAGAGCUAAAGAUUUGGAAUUUGUUGGGUUUUGUUGACUAUAGGAGUGGAAGCAAAACACUGCUUUGACUCUUCCUUUGUAUUAGUAUUUUGCUGGGGUUUCUUUUUUUAACCAAAUAUUGUGUAAGUGAUUAACCACAGAAAACAAUGAAAUCUAUGCACAUUGUCCUCUUUUGUCUUUUGCCAA